UAUCUGGAGGAGGAAAACGACAUACAAUUAGGUUAGUACAUUUUAGAUAAUUUUCUCUUUGUAAGUUUUAAAGUAGCUUAUACAAACAGUCCGUCUUAAGAAAAAUAUCGCUUGAGCAGUGAAAACAAAUACAAGGUCAUAAGUCAUCUGUUUUAUCUUAAAGAAUAGAACUGUCUUGUGUAUAUCACCUAAUGUGUACUGAAUAAUUGCAGUGAUGUAAUAAUUAUAAUAAAGUAUUACUUUCCUUGGUAUUUUUAACCAACCUGUGAUAAGAAUAUAAAAACAGAAUGCUCCGAAGCUAUCAAAACAAUUCCCUACCCUUCAGUAAGUAUACUAAAACAUGAUGCUUCGAUUCCUCAACCUUGGUCACAAAUACUUUUUAUUCUUAGCUUUAGGAGAAAUUUAAAAAAAUGAGUCUAAUUUGCAAGUUUUGGAAUGUUUCAUAAAAACGACAGGCCAGAAUGUACAUAUCUGGAUUUUUUUUAAAUGAAGAGACACAAUCUCAAUCUGGUAUCUAUCACUCUGAUAUAAACAACUGACAUCUUACAGAUGAAUUGUGUUGACAAACACUUAGUUAAUUGAUUUUCUUUAACAAACCGUCGGUAUUCCUAUCAGAAACUUCUCCCUAGUUUCCCAUGGAGCAGACCUCAUAAUGAGAUUUACAAGAAUAAAUCAGUUUGUUUGCUAUUUUGAAGUCUUUCACAUUUUAAACAAAGAAUAAAGGAUAUUACAGAUACUGUUAUCUCAUAACUUAACUUGCAUCUUUAAAUCAGCAAUUGUGUGGGUUUUUUUUCACUUCAAUUUUAAAGUUUACAACAAUUUUGAUAAUUUUUAUUUUUCAAAUUUUAAACUUUCCAUUUUUAUAAUGUUCUCGGUACUUGGGCUGGACAUUUAUCAUACUUAAGCAGCGUUUCCUGUUUUCUUACGACUUAUAUUGUUUGAUUGUCCCAAAUGUUUGCUUUCCUUUAUUUGACUCUUUAGAUAACAUUUACAAUGAUACGUUAAAAUAAGAACAAAUAUUAUUUAACAUAAUAUAAAUAUGUAAUUUCAUUGUAUCAUUGAUGUGUCUUUUUUAAGUAGCUAAAAAGUACUGUUUAUAAGUUUUAUGAUCAAGAUAAAUAUGAUUGAGUAUACAUAACCUAAUGAAUGGUUGGUUAAAGACUGCUUAAUGUUGAAUUAAUCAAGAAAAUGAAUAGCUUGUGUAGUGUGAGCUUAAGCAAUAGACUCAACUGCUACGUCAUUUGAUCACUAAUGGAAAGUUUUAUUACUGGCUAUCAUACCACAUCUUUGUAUAUCUGCAUUGAAAUUUUAAAAACUGUUAAAAUAAGUUAUUUUUUGUAGGUAUCUGAAGACUUCAAGAUGGAUAUUGGAUCAGGUAUGAAUCUAUGAAUCUACUUGUCAACUUUAAUGUUUUUAACAUGCACAGAAAAAAGACAAGUACCACCUACUAGAUAAAAAAUAAGACACAAGCACCUUUUAAACAAUCUACAUUAUACGUAUGAAGUGAAUAAUAAUACAACGUACAUGUUAGGCUUGCAAUUGUUUCCCCUCCUUCAUAAAAUAGAAUUAUCCCUUUUAAUUUAUAUUCUUUAGUACAUAUGGUACAUAUUCAUAUACACUUUAAAUUACAUUGGAAAAUGAAAAUAAUACUUUAAAAAUUGGUUUGUCCAAAGUGCUUAUCUGUAUUAAUCUUUAUUAUUAACUUUCAGAGCCAAUAAUCUGCAAUUACCGAACAAAAGUUUGAGCUAUAUGACCGCAAGGACCAUAAAAUGGUAGACCAACUUGCUUGUGGGAUUAGAACAUUGGCUUCAAAAUAAUUUCUCAAUGCAUUUAUUUACUUUUAUCAAAAUUAAUUUGUUGGACUUAUGUAAAUUUCUUUUAGACUACAGAUUCACUGAGCCUUUUAAGCUUACAGAACAAAUGUACAAUGACUAUCAUGACAAUGGGUAUCUUAUCAUACGGUUAGUAUUAAUAAUCUGACAAUACUUUUUUUUAUAAAUUUCAAUCCUGGUAUCUAUGAAUAGUUUAUAUGGACGAAACGCGCGUCUGGCGUACUAAAUUAAAAUCCUUGUACCUUUGAUAACUAUUUACACCACUGGGUCGAUUCCACUGCUGGUGGACGUUUCGUCCCCGAGUGUAUCACCAGCCCAGUAGUCAACAUUUCGGUGUUGACAUGAAUAUCAAUAAUGUGGUCAUUUUUACAAAAUUCCUGUUUACAAAAUUUUGAUUUUUUUCGAAAUCUAAGGAUUUUCUUAUCCCAGGCAUAGAUUACCGUAUUUGGUCGUAUUUUGGCAAAUCUUUUUGGAAAUUUUGGACCCUCAAUGCUCUUCAACUUUGAAAUUGUUUGGCUUUAUAAAUAUUGUGAUAUGAGCGUCACUGAUGAGUCUUAUGUAGACGAAACGCGCAUCUGGCGUACUAAAUUAUAAUCCUGGUACCUUUGAUAACUAUUUACACCACUGGGUCGAUGCCACUGCUGGUGGACGUUUCGUCCCCGAGUGUAUCACCAGCCCAGUAGUCAACAUUUCGGUGUUGACAUGAAUAUCAAUAAUGUGGUCAUUUUUACAAAUUUCCUGUUUACAAAAUUUUGAUUUUUUUCGAAAUCUAAGGAUUUUCUUAUCCCAGGCAUAGAUUACCUUAUUUGGCCGUAUUUGGCAAAUCUUUUUGGAAAUUUUGGACCCUCAAUGCUCUUCAACUUUGAAAUUGUUUGGCUUUAUAAAUAUUGUGAUAUGAGCGUCACUGAUGAGUCUUAUGUAGACGAAACGCGCAUCUGGCGUACUAAAUUAUAAUCCUGGUACCUUUGAUAACUAUUAUAAACAUGUUUUUGUCAUUUUCAUUAUUGAUAUUUGACACCGAUUAUGAUUUUGAUUUUCAUGAUAGUCAGGAAAUCAAAUUCGAUCUUCUUGCAACGCUUUUCUAUGCUAAUCUAGAUCAGAAACACUUCGACGAUAACUGCUCAGAGAGCCAAAGAUAAUAUAAGUAUAGGUAAAUGCAGGGAAUCGUCACGUUAAGAUACCCACGCCCGUUUCAAAGUCCAUAACAAAAUCAUUGAGGCAAACAUAACAAGAUUCUGAGAAAGUUUAAUUAAAUUCUGAAUGAAAUAUGUAGUGUAGCGUAGUAUACUGGUAAAAUAAAGUCCAUGCUCUGUCUGAGUUGAUCUAAGAAAUCCUUUGAAAUUAAGAACUAAAAUAAAUGUGAAAAAGAACAAUCUGUGAGCAAGAUUAUGUAAUCGUUUCACAAACUUUUUUUCAAGUUGUUCAUGAACAGACAGUAGCUUAUACAAAAGUGGGGUUGAUUGACCAACGGACAGACGAUAUUUAAUGUCAUAUCGAUAUUUGUCCUGUUGGUAUGUUAACUGACAUUGGUAAACUUUCUAUAUUUUUAACCCUUAUUGAUAUGAUCAUAUAUCGUGUGAGUAUGACUACGAGAGGAAUCUUGAUACACAUUGGAUAAAGAUAAAGAGAGAAAUUUUUGGUAUGUUGUCCAAAUGUUUUAUUCCCUGCCUUUAUAAUAACAAAUAUAUAUUUUUAUAGUAAUAUGCUUGACAAAGAGGAGAUUAACAAAAUAGAGAAAUGUGUGACCGGAGAAAAGUUUAUGGAGAACAAAUACUCGGUAAGUUUGGUUUUAACAUAGAUGAUUUUUAUCUGAUGUCUACAUAGAUGAUUUUUGUCUGAUGCCUACAUACAUGCAAGUCACUUGAAAUAAAGCAACACUGAUAUAUGUUUUUAUAGAAUGGAGUCAAGCCUGUGUAAUAAAUGCUUAAAUGAAUUUUAUAAAAAAUGGAAAUAAAUCUUAAUAAAUUUAAAGAGUCCUAAGCACUUUUCUGGAUUUUCUUUAAUCUGGGACGUUUAAUACCGAAUAUUUUGAAUGCCAAUAAUUUUUUAGAACCGAAACGGAGACGAACUGUAUUACAAAAAAGGAUAUAAAAAUAAUACACAAAAACAUCAAAAGUCAACUUUGCCAGAUGGAGUUGGAACUAAAGUUCUUUCUUAACAAAUAAGCUGCAAUAGCAUACUUGAGAGUGUAUGAGUGUAUAUAUAAAUGGUGUCCAGCAUAGGUUUGGUUGAUGUUUCGCAAUCGUUUACAUAUCAUAAUGUUUAUUUUAAAAUUAGAUUUUUAUUCAUCUUUUAUUUUAAUGUCAUCAUUGAUGAUAGAUAACAUAGAAACAUCAUAUUAUUUAAGCUAGAAGAUAAAGAUAAUAAGAUAAUACGAGUUGUUUGGAGACAUCCUGGUACUGACGUCACUGGAAUUGUAUCUAGAUCAGAGAAGAUAGUGAGUAGUUGUGAAAAGGUAAGUACUUAGUUAUUCAAUAUAGUCCCGUUUUUAUAACACAUCUGUUAAAAACAACAACGCCCAAAGCCAAAUAUUUGAAAGCCAAGGAUUUAUAAGAACCGAAACAAUUGAAGAGCUAUAUAACCAAAAAUAACUAAUAAAGUAGCCAAAUCAACUAAGGCUAACUUUGUUAGUUUUUUAUUAUUUCAAAAUUUAUUAACUGAAAAUUUUACAAAGGGUUGUUUUAAAUCAUGUCAGUACCGAAGUACUCUCGAUGAUAGAGGUAUUGACCCAUUGAUGUAAUGAUGAAAACAACACGUUAUUGAAAGUUUAUUAUUGCUAUUUGAUUUUGCCAUUUGAUAAGAGCCUUUUCGUUUUAAUUUUCCUUUGAGUUCGGUAUUUUUUUGUUAUUUUACUUAUUGUCUGGUAUAUUUUGCUACUGUUCAAUAUUUCAUGUUUGUUUUUGCUUUCUUAAUAUGUUUAGUUACUUGAUGGCGAAGUGUAUCACUACCAUGCUAAGUUGAUUAUGAAGGAACCUGAAGUGUCUGGUCCUAUAUACUGGCAUCAGGAUUACGGGUGACUAUUUUCGCAAAUAUUAUCUUUGUUUGAACUUUAUAUUCUAACUAUCCUAUCAAUUACGAGUACAGUUUAUUAUUACACAUAUCUCGUUAUUCGUUCACUAUGAUCUUGUAUAACUUAAACUUGCGUUAACUUAACCGAAUAAGGAAUAUCUGCUGUUUAUUUUCUACAAAGUCUAAUAUGGCUAUUCAAUUACAUUUGCCUAAAUUAUGAUAUGUACAGAAUGCGAACAAUCAUUGGUAGCAAAUAUUAUUGAUUACUUGUAAUCAAAGAAAGUUCACUUGAUUUCUCAUUUUGAAGAAAUACAUAUUCUCAUUAUAUUUAUGAUGAAGUUUGAUUAUUUGUAACAAUACAUAUGUUUAAUGCAUUUAAUAUUUUAAAGCUAUUGGUAUCAUUACGGUAACCUUUUCCCUGACUUGCUGACUGUUUGGGUUGCAGUUGAUCCCAGCACGAUUGAAAACGGAUGUCUGGAGGUUCGUUAUGGUCUAUGUUUGUUAGUGAAAUCACAGAAAAAAAAAUAAAUAUAGCCAGUAAGAAAAACGAACAUUUAUUUGUUUAAUUUCAUAAUUCAUAAAUACUAGAAUACCGAAUACCCACUAGCUGAAUCUGAAAGUCUUCUAUACACUUUGAAUAAAUUGAUGUGAUUCAAGAAUUGCAAAACAAAAUGCACCUAUAGUGAAACAGUCUUUGAGUAUUAACGUAAUCAAGUCAGUUUACAUACUUUUCAAAAUUUUGUUUUCGAUUUUGUUUUCAACCAGUAACUUUUUACAUACUAUUCUUUUGAUAGGGUUUAGACUUUCAUCAUGAUAUUGCAUACUUUUAUUUGUUAUAAAUUUAGCCAUUCAUUCAGUUAACAUACUAUUCAUACUUUGUGAUAUGGAUUUAAUAGCAUCAAAUCAGUCUAAUAGUAUUCAUACUAUAUCAUAUUUUUGUGAUACAGGUUUUAGCAGGAUCCAAUAAAUGUGGACGGUUAGAUCACCAUGUUGAUGAUGGACAAAAUCAAGUUGCCGAACUGUCACGUCUAGAAUCUAUUAAGGAGAGAUGCCCUCAUGUCAAAGCUGAGAUGGAGAAAGGUAAUCCUACACUUCAGAAAAAGCAAAUUCCGAUAGUUUUAUGAUAUCAGUAUCAAUUUAUUCAAAUUCUUACUUUUGAUCUUUUUGAUUCCAGCGUCAGGGAUGAUUUUUUUUGUAGACAAAACGCGCUUUUGGCUUACUCAAUUACUACACUGUAACCUUUGACUAUUUUGUCUUCUCUGUUUUACAAAUUAGAUAGAACCGAUGUUCAAAUCUCAUAAAUUCAGAAGAUACAAAAUCAAAUUUAAGAAACAAAAACCAGGAAAUUAUAUUUAACCCAAAAUGAACGAAACAGGAUGCGUGACAUGGUAGGCAUCGGUCUAUACACAUUAUCGCAAUUAAGACUUAACCAAAGAUUCUGCGACACUUAAACUAUUCGCGUCAAACAACAAUCGUUUUUCUAUUGAUACGUCAUAUCCAUUAUUACGUAAACAAAUGACGGGAAUCUUUGUAAUGUCCAAAUGUAUGGCAAACAAAUAACGAUAAGGUGUAUAUUUAAACCUCAUGAAUAGGGCACAAAUAGUAAAUUUACAUAUCAGCUUAUUUUUUGGUAUUGAAAGGUUUUAGACCGCAAAAGCAUAUCGUUAGUGGGUUUAGACGCAUACCCAUCAUUUAGACACAUACACAUUUUGUAUAUAUAUAUAUAUAUAUAUAUAUAUAUAUAUAUAUAUAUAUAGGUCCAUCAAUUAAUAAUCGAUGAUGACCGUAUAACCAUGAUAUGGUUUUCAUUCUUGUUUCCUAAUAAUUAUGCUGUAGCAGUUUUGUGUAUCCUGUUAAUGAGGUCUGUAAAGAACGAAAUUGUAUGUGCGUAACGUAUUCGUUGGUAUGUGUCAUUUCAGUAGGCUGGGACAGAGUGUAAUUGUUCUAUGAUAAUUUUUGUAUUAUUGUCUUUCAUUUUUGCUAAUAUGCUGUGUCUGUAUGCAUUUUGUGUUUCUUUGCUACAUAUGACGUGGCCCUGUGUUUAUAAAUUCCGUCAUUGUGUUAUUGUGCCAUCGUAAAUAUGUGUUUACAUAUUUGUUUGAUUUAUAUUGAUUAAGAUGAUAACCCAAUGUUGACUGAUAUGACGUUUUUACCUAUUAUGUAUAUUUGUUUUGUUCACACGUCGUUUUCAAUAUAAUAGAAUUUAGCUAUAAGAAAAUGUAUGUAUCGAGUAAGGAAUAUGACAGUUGUUGUCCAUUUGCUUGAUAUUGUUGAGGUUUGGAUUUUUGCCAUUUGAUAAGGGACUUUCUGUUUUGAAUUUUCGUCGGAGCUCGGUAUUUUAGUGAAAUAAUUUUUUGAUACUUCUGAGUAAUGGCAAGUUGACAAUUUGAAAAAAUGAAAUCACGAUAGUUAUAAAUGUUUUGGUUAAAGUCGUAUACCUUUGUCAGUAUAAUAUAUAAGAUCAAUUUAUGAAGUAGAUUUUCUAGUUUCGAUGAUAGCUUUAAUACUUAGAAACAUCUUUCAUUUUCUUUACAGGAGAUGUUUUGUUUCUCCAUUCCAAUACACUACACUACAGCAGUCCGAAUCGUAGUAAGAUGAGAAGGAUUGGAUUCCUCAUGUGUUACAACAAAGCCUCUAAUGAAUCCGUCAUGGAACAUCAUCAUGCUCAAUAUACCCCCAUACAGAAGGUAGGUUUUAUCAUUUUGGCUCAAUGUAGCCUUAAAGGCAGAUCUUUUAAGGGAGUUCGCUUCUCAGUUUCAAAGUAAUUAACUUUUCAAAACACUAAUUUAUAUAGAUAGGGGAUUGAUAAAGGAAUCCAAAGAGCAAUAAAAAUAUAUAGGUCACCGUGCUUGUUUUUCGAGAUAAAAGCCAUUGAAAUUUUGGCGGGAAAAUAUUCUCUCUUGACUUUUCAUAGCUUUAUCAAUGACAAGUUGAAGUUUUCAAAAACUGUUAAAAAGUAAUUAAAAUUUUAAAAGACUUUUACAGAUGGCUUAUCAUUAUACAUGUAAAAGAUUUACAAAAAGAAAAAUAGGGGUCACCGGGCAAAUUUUUUUUAAUGCAUUCAAAUGUAUAAAACCAGAGGAUUCCGAAAAUCUGACAAAACAUUUUAAACAUGACAAGCCAGCUUCCUUAACAAAAUUGACAUGCAUCAUAAAAACGAUCAUAGCUUACUCUUUUUCAUUCAGGAGUAUUGUGAAAAUGUACACAAAACGUAAAAGUAAAUAUAAUUGACAUAUGCAAACAAUAUAAGUAGACGGAAUUUAAACGUGUACACUAGUAUAGGUAAAGGGGUAGGUUCAGUAAGACCCCUUUUUGGCCCAAAAAUAUAGCAAUUACAAAAUUGUUAAAAUGUAAACUGUUAGUUAUUUAUGGAAAGUAGAAUGCUUCUAAUACAUAGAUAUGGGCUGUUUUUGACAAUACAAUGCUCAUAUAUCGGUACUAGCAUCAUUUACUCAUGCUUAAUUACUGAAAUCUUUACAAUUUUAGCAUAUUAGUUAAGUUUUUCCGUCUUAAAUGAAAAUGGCCGCAUUUGUGUUCAUUCUUAAUAUUGAAAUGUAAGUUGUAUUUGAUGAUAAUACAUAACAUAUAUAAAGGUUGAGGAUGAACACGGAUGCGUUCACUAUCAUAUUUGACAAAAGCCAUCUGAAAAAUGACAUUUUCUUGGCAUAUUUGAUAGAUUUUUUUAUAUUUAAGCUUGAAUCGGAGCGUUUUUAAUUACUUAAUCAGUAAAAAUCUUUCACAUAAACUCAUUGAAUCAACUGAAAUAGAUAAUAAAGUGUUUAAAAAGUGUCAAAAAUCUUUCGUCAGAUGAACUUAAAAUUUGAUGCCAUAAUCGGCCCUUACCGGACCUACUACUUUGAUUAUUUGAUAAUGGCCAAUCAAUUAUAAAUAUGAUGUUUAAACUCCACCGACUUAUAAUUGUUUGCAGGUAUCAAUCCUAAUUGUCAUGUUUGAGCAAACAUUAGUACAAACAAAUCAAGCAAGGCAAGCAAGCCAACCAGUCUCUUACUCAAGAGAGGGACGAAAGAUACCAGAGGGAGAGUCAAACUCAUAGAUAGAAGAUAAAAUGACAAUUCCAUGGCUUAAACUAAAAAGACAAACAGACAAAUAAUAGUACAGAAGACACAACAUAGAAAACUAACACGAACCCCAUCAAAAACUGGGGGUGAUCUCAGGUGCUCCGGAAGGGUAAGCAGAUCCUGCUCCACAUGUGGCACCCAUCGUGUUGCUUAUGUUAUUGCAAAUCCGGGAAAUAUCUUUAAAAGCUUCCUUUUGAGUAGCAAUCCUCUCUCAAUGAAAUCAUGAUAGAAAAUACAAGCCCGUAAAUAUCGUAUCAAUUGGGAGAUAUAUACUCCGUAUGCAGCCGCUGCUCGAAUGUUGCUACUUAGAAAUGGAAAGUUCACAAUUGAAAUACUUUGUACUUAUAUUGGUAAAGAGAAAAAUAUUUAACAUGAUUAUAUACACUGUUUAAUAAUACUUUCACCUGUCUCUUUUUCUCUCUCUCCGAAUAGUAUAAAUAGAGGAAAGAAUAUUCUGUUUCAAUUUAUAAACAUGAGUUGCACGUGCACAAUGGUCAAUUAGUCCAAUUAUUAUUUCAGGUUCCAGAUUCUGCAAUCAAGGAAUGUACAAAUUUUACAGACAUGUCGGGAAAGGAAUUUCAACAUCCAAAUACAAAUACAACAAUGAUUGGCAGGAAAGAUCAAUCCCACUAACAUAUGCGUUUUUUUUUCGGCAACGUAUAAACGUUCAUAUAGUUGGAUGGAGACGAAAUACAAGUUGUCGUAAAUAAAAUAACGCUUCAUCCAAUAAAAAUAAAUAUUAAUAAAAUAAUUUUAUUACUAUAAAUUUAUUAAUACAACUAGUUGCAUUGAUCAUAAAUUAUGUUUUACUUUUUAGUAAACAUUUUCCAUAUUCGGUUAUCAAUAUCCAAAUAUAGUAGACAGA
Molecule: long non-coding RNA, 9785 nt
Filed under: Mytilus galloprovincialis (Mediterranean mussel)
Lineage: Eukaryota; Metazoa; Mollusca; Bivalvia; Mytilida; Mytilidae
Source: RNAcentral